GAAAAAGUAUAAUAUUCACAUUUAGGAUAUGAAAUUCUAGCAGAAUUCUAGAGUUUUUCGAGAUAGGUAUUUUACUAUCUAGAAUGAGGACAAAAAAUCCAGUAAAUAAAAGGUAUAAGUUGUCUAAAAUCUUGGUUUUGGUCUUAUCUGGAAUUUACACUUUCCGUCUUUGCUUUUAAUAUUCCCUAGCUCUAAGCAACGGCCUAAAAAUACUUGAGCAAAGAGCAUCUCAAUUCGUAUAUUUCAAGAGGAUAAUUCUCACAUAUCUCAAUUGGUAUACUGUUAACAUAAUUCCUUAAAAGCCCAAGGUCAUGAAAACUCACAGAUGAAUUGGAAGUAAAGGAUUUGAUAAAUUCAUUUUGAAAAUCAAGACACUGAAAAUAUUUUAAAAGGUUUUGGUAAAAGUGAGAUUUUGAAUAAAGAUGGAUUUUUGUGGGGCUUUUAAAACAGUAAUUCUAUUCAGACAUUUCACAAGUUUAAAGCAGGACAAAAAGAAACAGGAGUAACUUACAGAGAAUCUCUUGUUCCUAGUUC
This is a long non-coding RNA of Arabidopsis thaliana (thale cress), 534 nucleotides long. RefSeq annotates it as other RNA. Lineage: Eukaryota; Viridiplantae; Streptophyta; Magnoliopsida; Brassicales; Brassicaceae. The record is from RefSeq. The transcript has a single exon.